This 482-nucleotide ribosomal RNA is filed under the name uncultured bacterium. RNAcentral's name for it is "bacterial SSU rRNA". It matches the Rfam family "Bacterial small subunit ribosomal RNA", at positions 32 to 524 of the family's 1533-position model. The record is from RNAcentral.
AAUCAACGCUGGCGGCGUGCCUCAGACAUGCAAGUCGAACGAUUAAAGCUCUCUUCGGAGAGUGCAUAGAGUGGCGCACGGGUGAGUAACACGUAAGUAAUCUACCUUCGAGUGGGGAAUAACGUCCGGAAACGGACGCUAAUACCGCAUAAUGCAGCGGCAUCGUAAGAUGACAGUUGUUAAAGAUUUAUCGCUUGAAGAGGAGCUUGCGGCAGAUUAGCUAGUUGGUAAGGUAAUGGCUUACCAAGGCUACGAUCUGUAACCGGUCUUAGAGGACGGUCGGUCACACUGACACUGAAUAACGGGUCAGACUCCUACGGGAGGCAGCAGUCGGGAAUUUUGGGCAAUGGGCGAAAGCCUGACCCAGCAACGCCGCGUGAAGGAUGAAGUAUUUCGGUAUGUAAACUUCGAAAGAAUGGGAAGAAUAAAUGACGGUACCAUUUAUAAGCUCCGGCUAACUACGUGCCAGCAGCCGCGGUAAU